UGAAAUUCAAUUGAAUUAUGAUGAUUAAUAUAGUUGGUGCAAACCAUCGGUUGGGACCUUCCUCAGUGUUUGCACUGGGGAGAGAUUCCAGCAGUGAGAACGAGAGAGAACCACAUCACACACAACCCUUUAAAGUAAGAAUUUACAAACCAUUUUCUAAGAACAUAAUAUAGAAUACAUUUCAGGACUUGAAUUUUUAGCCUUUUACAGACUGAUGCUUAUGGUAGACCAAGACUAGUUCAUAUUUUGGGGAGCUCAAGUUGUAUAAAUCAAAAGAAAUAGCAGAUAGUUCAUUAGUCAUACCAUCUAAUGCAUCAUCAAUCUAAAUCUAACCACCGAAUGCCUUCCACACAGCAAAUGCUUUGCAUGAUUUGAAGAAGGUGAAACUUGUGACAUUGUCUGUUGAAUUCUCAAUGCAUGCCUCUAGUCUUACAUUGUGAAGGCAAAAGGGCUUUAUGUGAUCCAACAAAGGGCUCAUGUAAAAGUUAAAGACUGUAAAAGAAAAUGGAGAAAUUAUACACAUUUGAAUGCAAGUUUAUAAAAGAUAUUUAUAAUAGUUUACAUUCUAGAGGAUUUGGUCUCCAAUAAAAAUAGAGAGUGAAGUACGAUCUACAUGAUUGUGUUUGCAUCUUUUUUUAAGCCAUCGUUAAGAGAUUGGAUGUAGUCUUCAGCAAGGCAAAGAAAGCCAUAAAUUUCUAUAUACUGUAUUUAAUUUGCGGUGCUUAAGUAGCGUGUAUGCAAAAGAGAUAAAAAAAUUAAGAAAACACUUUGAUGCUUUCUAAUCUAAAUGAACUCAUACAUGGAUUUUCUUCUGAAGAUAAUGACUUAAUUAAGUCAUGAAACACAUGCCAUCUUCCAAUAACUAAUUCAAAUAAAGUAGGAGUCAUCAUCCAACCAAACUAUUUCACAACCCAGUUAAUAAGCAAUUUUGCUGAGAGAUGCACAAUCUGAUUCCCACCUUUCAUCAUAUGCACAAUGCUACAACUCCUAAAUCUUCUCUGCAAGAGCUUAAAAAACUCAUUUGUGAAAUCAUCCAUUUGAGGGAAUCAACUUCCAUGUUUAUCAAUGAGGUGGCUCGUUACUGUUUUUCUCAAAAAAAAAAAAAUCAUAAUUACUCAAGGUAUAUAUGCAUGGUAGUAGUGAAAUCCUCAAAGUGUAAUCCAAGAUAUUGAUAACCAAUGGAAAGAAAAAAAAGUAUCGCUAUAUUUGUACUUUUAGUCUUUUAAAAAAACUUCUACCUAAUUUUUUGCCCUGCUAACAUUUCCUUAAUGCUAUGUGAACUUGUGUUCUGCAGAGGCUUCCCAUUUUGGUUGCAUGAUGUUCCAGGAAUUGUUUUUCGGUCUGACAAUGAACCAUUCAAGGUACAUGACUGCACGAAAUCCAUGAAUUCUACCAGUCCCUUCACACCAUAGGCAACUAUUUGGAGUUUAAAAUUUGCUGCUUUACCUACUCGCUCUCUCUCUCUCACACACACACCCCCCACACCCCCCCCCCCUCCCCCAUCAGACCAUUGCUCAUACUAAAUCUAUUCAUUAACUAGAUUUUCAAAUAAGGCUCAUCGCAAAUAUCUCUCAGAUACAUUGCUCAGAAAAUGUCUCUCAACUAUGCAUUCAGACACCAAACAGAGUGAACCUUUCCUCAGAAAACUUGGAAAUAGAAAUGUGCAUAAAAAUAUAAUACAUAAAAAUAUUCCUUUCAAAAGAGACCCUUUCCAUUUUUUGGAGGAAAAAAAGAAAAGAAAAGAAAGCUGUUGUGACUUUGAAUAACACUCUAUUAAGAAACUCUAUUCUUAUUACAGUAAUCGAGGUUAUAUAUCAAUGAUUAAUAUUAAUGUAACUGAUCAUAAAAGAAAAAAAAUCAUGUACAAUGUCUUCAGAGCACUUUGCUUGUGUUGGCUAAUUCUGCUGCUUAAGUUGGCUGGUUCACAUGCAGUUCUACAUGAAAAGAUUUGUGGAAAACAUAGUGAAUUUGAUGAAGUUUGAGAAAUUGUAUUAUCCUCAAGGAGGUCCGAUCAUAGUUUCUCAGGUGACACAUGUUGACUAAAACUCUUUUUAUCAUUAUGGCUAUAUAAUGUCAUGCGAGACUCACUUAAACAAAAUGAUAUGCAUAAUAUAACAUGCAGAUCGAGAAUGAGUACCAAAUGGUGGAGCCUGCAUUUCAUGAGAGAGGACCUCCUUAUGUUCGCUGGGCAGCAUCUAUGGCUGUGGGUUUACAAACUGGGGUCCCAUGGAUGAUGUGCAAGCAAGAUGAUGCUCCUGAUCCAGUGGUCCGCAUUCUUAGUUCAUAUCUAGACUCAUGACUCCUGUGAAAAUUGCAAGUUAAUACUGUAACAAUCAAAUGGUUGAAACUUCAUGCGCAGAUAAAUACCUGCAAUGGAUUGAAAUGUGGAGAGACAUUUGCAGGGCCAAAUUCACCUACAAAGCCAUCACUUUGGACAGAAAAUUGGACCCAAAGGUAUGCUUUCAACAAAACACACCUAUCAUUGGUCUCCUUAUUUUGUAUUCUCAAUGCUCUCAAAAUUCAGAUGAUCACUUUCUGGUACACUUCAUAUCUUAAACAUUCAAUUUGAUUAUAUAAGACAAAUGCCUUAUGGUAGAGCUAUGCAACUGAACUAAUUCGUCAAAAAAAAAAAGCAUCAGCCAUUUUAUCUGGUUUCUAUAUCUGUCCAUGUUCAUAUAAACUGAACAUAAUGCUAGUAUUUCCAUAUUGUAUUUAAAAGUGAGAUUUUUUUAUUUUUAUUGUUUUCACUAUUCCACCAAGAUUCCAUUUAUCACUCUCUUCCCGAAAUAACCUUGAUAGCAAGAGGGAAAAGACCCUUGCACAGUCUUUCUUGUCUCUUCCUCUCCUUGUCUCACAAACACUCAAUAUUAGUAGAAUACAGGAAAUACAAUUCCCACACUUUGGUUCUUAUGAAGAUGUCUCAUUCUCUUGUUGUAUCAUAAAAAAUAGUAAAGAUCCAUCUCACAGUUUUGGUUCUUUUGAAAGCCUUAACUAGUUGUUGAUAUAAGAUGAGGGUCAAUUUUUCCAGCUAGGCUAGUGGCUAGCAUCUUAGUAAUGUCACUGUUAUAUUGGACAACAUAAUGGCGGCUUAUGUGAACUCAUGUCAUAUGUCCUACAAUGUUUUGUUGAUGUCUGUCCUCCAAGAAGAUUAAUGGAUG
This 3158-nucleotide long non-coding RNA is filed under the name Elaeis guineensis (African oil palm). RNAcentral describes it as "long non-coding RNA (EGUI_LNC073494)". The record is from RNAcentral. Lineage: Eukaryota; Viridiplantae; Streptophyta; Magnoliopsida; Arecales; Arecaceae.